This is a long non-coding RNA of Homo sapiens (human), 392 nucleotides long. RefSeq annotates it as long independently transcribed non-coding RNA 1627. Lineage: Eukaryota; Metazoa; Chordata; Mammalia; Primates; Hominidae. The record is from RefSeq and is a predicted model, not a curated record. The transcript has 3 exons.
AUGCAGAAGACGUGUUUGGAGCCAUCUGUGCCUCUGAAACAGACCCCCAUACAAAAGUGCUGUCUUGGCCCUACGAGACAGCUCAUGUGGGGCUGGGAGGCACCUGGGAAGUGAGGCCCACAAACAUGUCAGAGAUCUCGGCCUCAGCACCAGAGUGACAUCAUUUGAGAAAGACUGUUCUAGUCCAACCCUGCAGUUUUAUAGAUGGAGAAACUGAAGCCCAGAGACGGAAAGUGAUACUGAAAGUGAUUUCAACAGCUGGACUCAGAGUUGGUCUGAGACUCCUGGUCUGACACCUUUGAAUUCGGUCAGCUUCUCAGUUCGGCUUGGCUGAGGGUACACUGUGUGCCAGAGAAGCAUAAGGGCCGCUGCCACCAUUAAGUAGAGAAAAG